Molecule: long non-coding RNA, 2435 nt
Organism: Salvator merianae (Argentine black and white tegu)
Lineage: Eukaryota; Metazoa; Chordata; Lepidosauria; Squamata; Teiidae
Source: Ensembl
AACAAAUAGCAGCAGGAUAUUCUAUAUUUCUUAAGCCCCCCAGUCCCACCACCUGUACUUCGAAAUAUGCUUGGGAAAUAGAUUUGGGCGUGACGCUUUGGGACAGGAAGUGGAAUUUUCUUCUAAAUCGUUCCCGGGUUGUGUUGUCUGCACCAACCCAGGAACGACACUAGGUGGCGCCAUAUAAAAGCCACUGAAUUGGCGCCGGGUGCCCAGUUCUUCCUUGUCACGUUCCCAAGGAUGUCCGAUGAAGCUUCGUCCUCGUGAUUCUCAAGGAUGUUAAUUUUCAGGCACAGGGGUUGUAUUCCCCGCGGCCACUCGUUUCGCCUGGCCAGGCUGAAACCACAGCUUGGUUUCUGGCCUCGCUCCUGCCCUGUCUCAGUCGCUGGUUUAAUAGGAGACCACGGGCGGUUGAACAAGCCACUCUUNGGCACCUCACGACAGCCAUCAUUCUUGUUUUCUUUCUGUUUCUUUCUUGCUUUCUUUUUAUUUAUGCCUUUCCCUGCUGUCCCCACCAGGGCACUAAGGAAACAAAGGAAAAUGUAUAAAAUCCAGAAAAAUACUAAUCCCACUUAUGAGAACAAAUGUUUUAAAAAUUAACCCCGGUUACUGAGAGCAACAUUUUACUGGGGUUUUUUUGUCUGGAGGCCUCUGCCAGUAAGCAAAUUUUAAGUCAGAGCAGUAAUACGAAUGGUUUCCAGAUUAUCAGUCCAAGCUUGGAUAACGUUUGUGGCAUAACCGCAGUCCCCAGACACAUGCGAGAGCUGUUAAUCCGUGCCAUUGUGUGCUUGCAAGAUUUCAAAAUAUGGUAUCUACCAAGGCUUCAGGACAAUAUACAUAAAGUGUCCACCCCUCCCUUCCCUCGGUCCUUAAAUUUGGCUUUAACUGCAUCUUCUCAUCCUUUUUCAGGUUUCAGUCGGGGCGGCUACAACCAGAAUCGCUGGGGAGGCGGAAAUCGAGACAGCAACAACAAUAACAGAGGCAACUACAAUCGGAGCAACCAACCGCCGAGCAGCUACAGCCCGGGACACAAUCAGAACACCUACAAGAGCAGUAGCAGCAGCGUUGCCCCCACCCCCCCUCCCCCUGCCCCCAGCGCCCCUCCCAGUACUUACAAUCCGGGACCACAGCAGAGCUAUAGCCAACCUUACAACCCUCCUUCCAGCUACGGCCAAGGGAGUUAUGCCUCUAGCUACAACUAUGGGAGUUACAGCAGUUACAACCAGAGUUACACCCAACCGCCACCCCCACCAGCUCCCACACCGCCAGCCUACAAUCAGCCGAACUACAACCAGUACCAGCAGUAUGCCCAGCAGUGGAGCCAGUACUACCAAAACCAGAGCCAGUGGCCCCCGUACUAUGGCAGCUAUGACUAUGGGGGUUACAGUGGGCCCUCGCACGGAGGCUCUGGUGCCCAGUGAUGGCGCUCUCCUGUUCCAGGAGAGAUUCCCUUGGCAGGUUUUUGAACUUGAGGGCUUGGGCUUUCUAGACCGCCAUGAGAGACCGGGGGGGAGGGAAUUAGCCUCUCUGCUCCCGCUGUCUCUCUCUAGUUCUUGAGGGUGGCUGCGUUUUUACUUGUACAGCUAGAGGCAUGCUUCUUUCCCUCCCUCCGUACCAUCCCUCAUGAGGAAGUUGCGUGAGUUCUUUCUCUCUCCUUGUUGAAGAUAUAUAUAUUUUUUUCCUUUUUUAAUUCUGAAAAAAAAAAAGAAGAAGAAGAAGAAGAAGAAAAAGAAGAACCUAGAUUCUUCAGUCUGUCACAUCCUUGUACCGUUUAGGACAAAAUCCACCCUCGUAUCAAACUUUUUACAAUAGUUAAGGCUGAGGGAGGAGAGCGUUACAAGGAACCCCCUCGUAGGCUGUAUCACCGCCCUCUCCGUCCCGGCUCACACACCUGUGCUAGCAAUCAGUUCCAGACAUUUUGAAACCUCUUCCUGCAGUUGGAUGUCACCUGUCUUUGAGGUAUUUUUAUUAUUCGUCUUUCUUGAAAACAACUAUUAAAACUGGAGGAAGAAUUGCUGGCUGUCUUAUGGUAAUUAUGAUUCCUUUUUUUCCUGUAACUUUUUACUGUGGGUCAACAGCUGUUAAUAUUUUCAUCAAGGUAACAAUUCCUUUUUUUUUUUUUUUUUUGCUCAAUUCAAGAGAGAAGAAACAAAGAAAUGGGGGGGAAAUCAUCUUAAAUGUGUAACUUUUUAUACAAUGUCUAAGUUUCUGUAACUUUGCACAUGCUUUGUGUUGAGUUGAAUUGUAACAGCUUUUUGUAUUUGGAGAAAAAAAGAGUGACUAUUGAACUUUACGUCAUUUGCCUCUUGAGUUUUCAUUUUUCCACGCAAAUCUUUAGGUCAAUGUCUGUGAACAGAAAAACAAGAGAAACAGAAAGCAAAUUAUAACUGAAAAUUCAAAAUAAAUAUAAAAUACCAUAUAAUAAGUAUCUCUAC